RNAcentral lists this ribosomal RNA (582 nucleotides) under uncultured bacterium. RNAcentral's name for it is "partial 16S ribosomal RNA". It matches the Rfam family "Bacterial small subunit ribosomal RNA", at positions 355 to 926 of the family's 1533-position model. The record is from RNAcentral.
UGGGGAAUUUUGGACAAUGGGCGAAAGCCUGAUCCAGCAAUGCCGCGUGUGUGAAGAAGGCCUUCGGGUUGUAAAGCACUUUUGUCCGGAAAGAAAUCCUUGGCUCUAAUACAGUCGGGGGAUGACGGUACCGGAAGAAUAAGCACCGGCUAACUACGUGCCAGCAGCCGCGGUAAUACGUAGGGUGCAAGCGUUAAUCGGAAUUACUGGGCGUAAAGCGUGCGCAGGCGGUUUGCUAAGACCGAUGUGAAAUCCCCGGGCUCAACCUGGGAACUGCAUUGGUGACUGGCAGGCUAGAGUAUGGCAGAGGGGGAUAGAAAUUUCCACGUGUAGCAGUGAAAUGCGUAGAGAUGUGGAGGAAUACCGAUGGCGAAGGCAGCCCCCUGGGCCAAAUACUGACGCUCAUGCACGAAAGCGUGGGGGAGCAAACAGGAUUAGAUACCCUGGUAGUCCACGCCCUAAACGAUGUCAACUAGUUGUUGGGGAUUCAUUUCCUUAGUAACGUAGCUAACGCGUGAAGUUGACCGCCUGGGGAGUACGGUCGCAAGAUUAAAACUUAAAUGAAUUGACGAGUCAUAGCUG